This 69-nucleotide transfer RNA is filed under the name Marmota marmota marmota (Alpine marmot). It matches the Rfam family "tRNA". Rfam says of the family: Transfer RNA (tRNA) molecules are approximately 80 nucleotides in length. RNAcentral also lists the same sequence under 1 other name. Lineage: Eukaryota; Metazoa; Chordata; Mammalia; Rodentia; Sciuridae. The record is from Rfam by way of RNAcentral.
GGGGAUAUAGCUCAGUGGUAGAGCACUUACCUAGCAUGCACGAGGUCCUGGGUUUGAACCCCAGUACCA